ACCAAUGCUACGGAGAAAAAUCUUCAGGCCAGGAUAAUUCGGGAAGGAAUCGAAAUUGAAAAACGUCCCAACUGCCUUAACAAGCGAGAUGUUUCGCAGAGACUACCACAAACAUGGAGGACGUUGUUGUCACGCAAGAUACCUGAAAAUAACUCAGGUACCCGGUCAGGCAGACCGGGUACCUGACUCAUGUAAGUGAUUCUUGAAAAUGGCUCAAAAGCAGGAACCGAAACGUCGAAACAAUGAAAAUUACAGACACUGUUCAACCCGGACAACAGUGUGAACAUGUAAAAUGUUGAAUAAUAAAUAUCGAGAUAAAAAAUAUGAACUUCAAGGAUUUCAAAAUACUCGAAUAUACAGUUUCUAAGUGCACUUAGGAUAACAUGAGUAUCUAAAAUUUCUUUCAAUUAUCGACCGUAUAUAAUGACGAGCCGGUUGUUUUAUUAAUAGUUUUGAAUCUUUUUUGAAUCUAAAUGAUGACUUUUCGUUUUGCAGUGUUUCUGGAAGAAGAUUAAAUACUUUUGGUGCUUAAUAUUGAUAGCAGUUUUGGCCUGUUGAUUUCGAAGCGAAAGGAUACACUUGCUCAGUAUGUGGAAAGAGGUACAAACAAAAUUGUUCACUUUGGAGGCAUACAAAGUACGAAUGUCAGAAAAAGCCAACAUUCAAAUGUUUUUACUGCCCAUAUAUGUCCAAACAAAAAUCGCCAAUGGUCAAUCACAUGAUGAUCAAACACAAUCAUAAGGACCCGAAACAUUUUCGAUAAACUGUAACUCUUCUUCCUUUAUAAUGAAAAAUCGUUACUUUUGUUGAUGUUAUACAUAUUGAGAAUUUACUUGUGUUUUGAAAGUUAUAUUUCAGAGUCUUUUUCUUCUGAAACAGAAAAUAAAUUGAUAUUCAAGAAAUUACA
Long non-coding RNA from Leptinotarsa decemlineata (Colorado potato beetle), 907 nucleotides. RefSeq lists it as uncharacterized. Lineage: Eukaryota; Metazoa; Arthropoda; Insecta; Coleoptera; Chrysomelidae. The record is from RefSeq and is a predicted model, not a curated record.